CAGGUGCUAAUUGACACAUUGGGAAAAGCAAAACUGAUUGCUGAGAACUUUUUUUGUGUUUUGAUUUAAAACAGAAAUGCUCCCUGAACUCUACAAAACUGCUGUGCCCAUGUUUCCUCCAAGAGGCUGUUAACGAUCUUCAGAGUUCUAUUUAUUGUUUUCCCAACUUCUUUGUAAGACAGAGUUCAUCCAUCCCCUCUUGACUGUCUUGCAGUUGAGGUGUCUGCACCUAAUUGAAGAGUAAAUGGUGAUGUGCCAGCUUCCUGGUAUCUUCUAUGGUAGCUGGAUAAAUGCAUUGCUUUGCCUCUGAAAUUCUGAGCUGGCUUGGUUUUAAGAAACGCAGCAGACAACCUUGUUAAUUCUGUGUAUGGAUUGGGAAUUGCAUGAUCCUGUGUUGAUUCAUGUACAGAGAUGUACUCAUGUCUAAGUGUUUCCAGCCACAUUGCUCAGGGUUUUGUUUCCCACUUCUGAGUGCUUCUGAGCCUGGCCACUCUUUCACAUCCAGCUCAGUGCUCACUUCACAUGCCAUCCUGCAAAGUAAAACGUAUGUCCUGGGUUGCUGGAGCAGUUUGUCUGCACAGACAUCACUGGUGGGGUGGGUAGGAGCAGCUACAAAGGAGGCAGCCAUGUUUGUUUCAGACCAGGCCGCAUUCUGUGCAGCCAUGACAACUGGGCGGCAGCUGGCCUGGUGGCUUCUGCCCACUGCUGAUGUUGCUAGAAGGAUAAGAAAGCUGACACUGAACACAGUAUGGAUGUUAUCUGUUAUCGUGAAAGACAGAUUUCCAGCAAGGUCUCAGGUACAAAUGUGUUUCUGAAGAAGAAGAAGAAAUAAAUGAGUAUCUGGGAUUUCUGGAAGCUUAGAG
Molecule: long non-coding RNA, 863 nt
Filed under: Coturnix japonica (Japanese quail)
Lineage: Eukaryota; Metazoa; Chordata; Aves; Galliformes; Phasianidae
Description: lncRNA (ENSCJPG00005001216.1)
Source: RNAcentral